RNAcentral lists this non-coding RNA (29 nucleotides) under Homo sapiens (human). The record is from RNAcentral. Lineage: Eukaryota; Metazoa; Chordata; Mammalia; Primates; Hominidae.
UCCACUGUUAACACCAUGGCUGGUGUCCU